Molecule: ribosomal RNA, 468 nt
Filed under: uncultured bacterium
Lineage: Bacteria
Description: partial 16S ribosomal RNA
Rfam family: Bacterial small subunit ribosomal RNA
Source: RNAcentral
GACGAACGCUGGCGGCGUGCUUAACACAUGCAAGUCGAACGGAAAGGCCCUGCUUUUGUGGGGCGCUCGAGUGGCGAACGGGUGAGUAACACGUGAGUAACCUGCCCUUGACUUUGGGAUAACUUCAGGAAACUGGGGCUAAUACCGGAUAGGAGCUCCUGCUGCAUGGUGGGGGUUGGAAAGUUUCGGCGGUUGGGGAUGGACUCGCGGCUUAUCAGCUUGUUGGUGGGGUAGUGGCUUACCAAGGCUUUGACGGGUAGCCGGCCUGAGAGGGUGACCGGCCCCGUUGGGACGGAGAUACGGCCCUGGCGCCUACCGGGGGCAGCAGGGGCGAAUAGUGUACCAUGGGCUGUCGCGUGAUACAUCACCGCCGCGUGCGGGGUGGCGGUCUUGGGGGUGUAAACCGCUGUAGCCUGUGACGCAGCGUGGGUGACGGUAAUGGGUAAAGAAGAACCGGCUAACUACGUG